CCCCGGGAAACUGGGUUUAAUACCCGAUAGAUCUCGGCUGCUGGAAUGCACCGAGUUCUAAAGCUCCGGCGCUCAAGGAUGGAUCUGCGGCCUAUCAGGUAGUAGUGGGUGUAGCGUACCAACUAGCCUACGACGGGUACGGGUUGUGAGAGCAAGAGCCCGGAGAUGGAUUCUGAGACACGAAUCCAGGCCCUACGGGGUGCAGCAGGCGCGAAAACUUUACAAUGCUGGAAACAGCGAUAAGGGGACCUCGAGUGCCAGGUUACAAAUCUGGCUGUCGUGAUGCCUAAAAAGCAUUGCAUAGCAAGGGCCGGGCAAGACCGGUGCCAGCCGCCGCGGUAACACCGGCGGCUCGAGUGGUAACCGUUAUUAUUGGGUCUAAAGGGUCUGUAGCCGGCCGGAUAAGUCUCUUGGGAAAUCUGGCAGCUUAACUGUCAGGCUUUCAGGAGAUACUGUCUGGCUCGAGGCCGGGAGAGGUGAGAGGUACUUCAGGGGUAGGGGUGAAAUCUUGUAAUCCUUGAAGGACCACCAGUGGCGAAGGCGUCUCACCAGAACGGACCUGACGGCAAGGGACGAAAGCUAGGGGCACGAACCGGAUUAGAUACCCGGGUAGUCCUAGCCGUAAACGAUACUCGCUAGGUGUCGGCCACGGUGCGACCGUUGUCGGUGCCGUAGGGAAGCCGUGAAGCGAGCCACCUGGGAAGUACGGCCGCAAGGCUGAAACUUAAAGGAAUUGGCGGGGGAGCACCACAACGGGUGGAGCUUGCGGUUUAAUUGGAUUCAACGCCGGAAAUCUUACCGGGACCGACAGCAAUAUGAAGGCCAGGCUGAAGACUUUGCCGGAUUAGCU
RNAcentral lists this ribosomal RNA (850 nucleotides) under uncultured Methanosaeta sp. RNAcentral describes it as "bacterial SSU rRNA". It matches the Rfam family "Archaeal small subunit ribosomal RNA", at positions 130 to 981 of the family's 1478-position model. The record is from RNAcentral. Lineage: Archaea; Methanobacteriati; Methanobacteriota; Methanomicrobia; Methanotrichales; Methanotrichaceae.